Molecule: unclassified non-coding RNA, 1332 nt
Filed under: Hevea brasiliensis (rubber tree)
Lineage: Eukaryota; Viridiplantae; Streptophyta; Magnoliopsida; Malpighiales; Euphorbiaceae
Source: RNAcentral
CUCAUGAUCCUCUGUAACAUCAAACCAAAAGGAAUUAUUAUACAUUAGAAUUGCUUGACAUGGACCCACAUUUAGUGAACUUAAAAUGUAACAAAAGAUAAAACACGUCCCAGAUAAAUGGAGUCUAUAACAGUCGAUGUAUAAAAGAUGAAACAGAAGCAGUUAAUUUAGGUUUCAGGAAGGUUGUGCUAAACUAAUAGCAGGAAACAAACACUGCACCGGAUGAAUUGUUGGCAUGGAACUCAUGUACUAAGGCCAGAGACUAGGCCACUUUCCAAUCUUUCAAGGGGAGCAAUACACUAUAAUUGUAAUCCAGAUAAAUGGUAAAUGUAAACAGAUUGUCUGAAAAUAUGAAUCAGAAAAGCAAUUAAUUAAAUCCAGGAAGGUUUUCCUAAUCCUAGUAGCAGGAAACAAAGGAUCCACCAGAUGAAUCAUUGGCACAGGAGAACCCAUCCCCCAAGGCUAGAUCCUGGGUACCUUCCAAUCAUUUAAGGGAAUGGAGUGCACUAUAACUAACUCCACUUUCAGAAGUUUUGACCCAGUAUGGCUAUUUGGCUCGCAUACCAACUCCAGCCAAUGGUGGUUUCAAAAGCAUAUUGCAAGUUUGGAAUAUUUAAUUGGUUUCAUGGUUACCUAAGAAGCAUGCAGCAUCAAAAGGAAUAAAGCGUGCUUUAUGAAAUAGUUUAUUUAAAUUUACCCCUUAAGAAUCUAGCUAAGGGAAUUUAUAAAUAAGUGAGUACGCAUAUUAGUAUCUAACUAUCUAUGCAUGAAUGCUCAUGCAUGAACCUAGUCAAUACAAACCUCUAAGAGCAUAAUUUCCAGCCCAAGAUAUAAUCCAGAAUCAGGUAAAAGCAACAAAAUAUGUUAACAAGUCCAUUGACCAAAAUCUAACACAUAUGCUAAUAUGCAUGCUUAUGCAGGAACCUAACCAAUACAAAUCUCAAAAAGCAUAAUUUCCGGCUCAAAAGAUAUCCAGAUUCAGGUAAAAGCAACAAAACAUGUUAAAAAGACCAUUGACCAAAAUCUAACAAAUAAUGAAUCAACAUAAAAUGAUUUUCAAAAAGGAAAGUGGCAACUAGCAACUUAUAUCAAAAUGUAUAUACCAACCAAAAAAUAUCAUUGCCAAAUUGCACAGACAUUUGCUAAUAUUCCAUUCAAUUGAAGGCCAAAAUUUAUUUUAAGUCUCAAAUUCCAUCAAUACCUUGCUUGCCACUCACAAAUAUACAAGCUCUUAGUGCUAACCUAUAAAUAAUGAGAGAGGGAAAAUAUUGCAAGAAAGAAAAAUAAUAAAGAUUAAAGGGGAGGGAGGGAAGGGGGAAGGGGGAAGACAAC